CUGACUUUCAGGUCAAGAUAUUUUGGACAUCUCUUGUUAACAGGCUGAUAUGGAAAUCAGAGCAAUUCUAACUGUGAUGGUUUCACUCCUUUGUCAUAUCACACCAAUCCUAUCUGAUGUGAAUAAAGAGAAUAUUUCAGAAGGGUGCAUUUCUAUGCUGCACACCCAAAUGAAC
Alosa sapidissima (American shad) is the source of this 175-nucleotide long non-coding RNA. RefSeq lists it as uncharacterized. The transcript has 3 exons. The record is from RefSeq and is a predicted model, not a curated record. NCBI's taxonomy places the organism in Eukaryota, Metazoa, Chordata, Actinopteri, Clupeiformes, Clupeidae.